This 468-nucleotide ribosomal RNA is filed under the name uncultured bacterium. Its description in RNAcentral is "partial 16S ribosomal RNA". It matches the Rfam family "Bacterial small subunit ribosomal RNA", at positions 28 to 507 of the family's 1533-position model. The record is from RNAcentral.
GACGAACGCUGGCGGCGUGCUUAACACAUGCAAGUCGAACGGAAAGGCCCUGCUUUUGUGGGGUGCUCGAGUGGCGAACGGGUGAGUAACACGUGAGUAACCUGCCCUUGACUUUGGGAUAACUUCAGGAAACUGGGGCUAAUACCGGAUAGGAGCUCCUGCCGCAUGGUGGGGGUUGGAAAGUUUCGGCGGUUGGGGAUGGACUCGCGGCUUAUCAGCUUGUUGGUGGGGUAGUGGCUUACCAAGGCUUUGACGGGUAGCCGGCCUGAGAGGGUGACCGGCCACAUUGGGACUGAGAUACGGCCCAGACUCCUACGGGAGGCAGCAGUGGGGAAUAUUGCACAAUGGGCGGAAGCCUGAUGCAGCAACGCCGCGUGCGGGAUGACGGCCUUCGGGUUGUAAACCGCUUUCGCCUGUGACGAAGCGUGAGUGACGGUAACGGGUAAAGAAGCACCGGCUAACUACGUG